Molecule: RNA transcript, 3467 nt
Organism: Syngnathus typhle (broad-nosed pipefish)
Lineage: Eukaryota; Metazoa; Chordata; Actinopteri; Syngnathiformes; Syngnathidae
Gene name: glyceraldehyde-3-phosphate dehydrogenase, testis-specific-like
Exons: 7
Source: RefSeq, a predicted model, not a curated record
GACAUCAAGAGGCAUCAACUGAACGAAAAGGCCGACAUGGACACGCGAGUGCUGGCGCUGUUGUUGUGCGUGCAGCUGGUGCAGCUGCUGCUGUCGGCCCCGCCGUCGACGGAAGCCAUGAGCAUCCCAGGACCUCCGUACCGGCCUCCGCCGGCGAGAGAAAUGCCCAGAAAGAAACACCGGUACUCCAACUGCAGCUGGAGACCCGGAGGAUGCAGCACGUUGGCUGUGAUGGGGCUUACUCCUCCUCCUCCUCCUCCUCCGCCCCCACCACCACCGCCUCCUCCUCGCCCAACAUUAAAUUAUAUUAUAUGUUUUUUGAACGGUGACUGGAAAUAAUCAAGGAUUUUGAUCAACUUUUUGAAAUCUUGUAUUCAGUCACUUUAACAAAAUAUCAUCAUGUGAUACUGUCAUCCAAUACGUAUUUGUAUCAUGUUGAAGCCUGUUCCGAUAAUAAACGAAUGAGCUGCGCUUGGAUGCUGGACUUGCAUCUUUUGGUGAUGCAAACAAAAAAAGAGGAAGAUAUGUAUUUUCUUGCGGUCGCAUUCCGGGUGGCGAAACAAGACAUGGACCUUGUUGGCCUCCUGCUGUUGCAUUGUUUUGUUGUGCUGCUUCCUCUUUUUCUUUCUGUAAUUUCUUGGAUGGCAUCACACUUAAGACAUGCUCAAAACAAAACAUGUUUAUGACACCAGUGACGUGCGGUGAGGUUAGGGUUAGUGCUUAUUUGCGUAAAAUAUCUAUUUUUGGGACAAUAGUAUGUUAGCAUAUUAUCUUUUCUAGCGUCAAGUAUUAAGUAAGACUCACCCCCUUUCACACAGACAUGUUUUCUUCAAAAAUACUUUAAAAAACAAAAAAAAAAACCUAUCAAAAUACAUAUAUAUUGUCUAAAAGACUUUUUGUUUCCUAAAUAAUGGACUGUUUCCUCAGAAAUGUGUACCAAAAAAUUGUUUCUUUAAAAGAUAUGACCAUAUGUGCAACAUUGUUUUCGCUGACAUACUGGAAUUUGUUUUUUCCACUCCAAAAUAAGCAGUCUUGUUUGUAAAAAAAACUUUGAACCAAGAAUAAUACCACCAUACUGUUAUCUAAGACCAGGAGCAUGCGCACCUAUAGUAAGAGUACAAAAAUAUUCUUGAAGCUAGCUGUCUUGUGCCCUCGAAAAAAAAAGAACUUUAGUUUUGGUACACUUGUCCUUUGAAGCUGCAUAUAUUUGGCAAAAUCUAGAUUAGUACAUCUACAAUAUACUAAAUUAGUCAGUGAAAGUGCAUUCAUGAUUAUUAUUGAGCUUUUGUAGUUCUCUUGUGGAAAACUUCCUGUUAUUGGGAAAAGCCCUCUUGAAAUAUUGACAUGUCGUAAUUUGUGAUGUGAGCACGUGUGGACUCACAGGAAGUUAUUGCCGCCUUUCACUUCUGAUGGGAAGGGUGUUUGCUUUGCUCUAUAUAAGGAGCAAUGUGUCACUUCAGCUAUGUGGCGUGUCAUUAGCCAUGGACAAAAUUGUGUUGGUGCUCCUGCUGUGUCUGCAGGCCUUCCUGCUCACCACUGCGUUGGAUUCAGAUAAGGCCGCCAUUUUGUUGACGGACAAUCGGCAACUUAUCAAGGGAAGAGCUACACCAAGAAUAAGACGACCAUACCGUUUUCCAGGAGCAUUCACACUUCUAGGAAGAGUUAAACCAAGAAGAUCAUACUGCUAUGGAAGACCAGGAGCAUGCUCACUUUUAAUAAAGCCGGCGCGAAACCAGGUCAGAAAGAUGGAAGUCGCCCACGCCUAGCGUGCCAAGCUUGACUUUGACAACUUACAGAAGCUCUGUUUGUUGUUUCUCUCUGCUCUCUAAAGCUAGCUUUUUAAAGACUGUCUGUCUGUUGUGUUGUCGUGGUGGGGAGAAGAAGUGGAUAUAUUCAUAAAGUGUGUAAACACCCUAUCGAGCUAAAUAUUCUCAUGCAAUGCACUGCUGAUUAAACAUCUGGAACAAGCACUUGUUUUUUCCUGUCAUGUUGGAAAAUGAAAGGAGUGACGAUAGCCAAGCAAGAAAAGGUUAAUAUGAUACGCGUUACUUUUGUCAACAAGAAUGUUUUUUUUCCUCCGUGUAAAGAUAAUUGAUCUAAUACUAAAGUAACUUUAAAGCUAAAAAUCUCCUUUAAAAAAUGAACACACAUGUUCUAAAACUUACUCCACUUCUAAAAAACCCAAGUCUUUUUAUACCUUUAUGUUGGAAUUUCGUCAACAUAAUAUAAAGCGCAACAUUCACAUAUCCUCAAAUGGGAAGGUGAAUAAAUUGAGAUUUCAACUAUUUAUUGGAAAAUGUUUCCAAAAAUGUGCAAAUAAAGAAUUCUUCGAAACAAUAAGUCAACGGGAACUUGCGAUCAUAAAUGUGACCAAUUAAAUAACAAAUACAGCUGAAAAAAAAAACUGGAUAAAAUUAUUAACCAUCCAUUCAUCCAUCCAUUAUCUGUACCGUAUAAAAACAAAUACAUAAAGAAAAACCAAAACACCGAGGCCUGAAACGGCAAUGUCGCAAUCAUUUAGGAUUCCUGGCACUUUCAACACAACAUAAACACAUCCAUGAGACUAGCGACAUUUUUCGGAUUGCUAAAAAUAUGCAAAUAAAGAAUUCUUGCAAACAAUAAGUCAACAGGAACUUGCGAUCAUAAACGUGGCCAAUUAAAUAACAAAUACGGCUGAAUCAAGAUCCAGCAAAAAAAACUCUUAAAUAAGACUAAAAUGAUUAAUCAUAUCAAACAAAUACAUAAAGAAACUAAAACACAGAGGCCUGAAACGACAAUGUCGCAAUAAUUUAGGAUUCCAACAAAACAAACACAUUCAAGAGACUAGCGACAUUUUUUGGAUUCCUGAAAAUAUUCAAAAUUUUGUUCAGAAUAUCGCAGGCAUUUUUACUCUGUAAACCGUCAACGAGUUAAUGGAGGGACACUAACGUCAUAAAUAACUUCCCGAAAGUUCAAAACGAUUCAAAGGAUGUAUAGAGAAGAGAAGAGAAGACCAGACCUCCUUGAGUUUCAUCCGUUAGUAGUUGAGGACCUGCAUAUCAAAUAGGUCAGACACACCGCCGGUGUCAUCCAAUGUGAAACUGUAGUCCAUGCCUUAAAAAAAAUAAAAUAAAAUAAUCAGCCGUCAAAUUGAUUACUCAAGGAGAAAAUUGUCAGACAUUAACAUGUAAAAGAACUGAAAGAAAUCUUUAAAUUCCAAGACAAAUCUCAAGAGUACAUUAUUUGACAUGUUUUUCCAAAAAGAAAUAUGUCAAUAUGUCAUAUUUACUCAUUUUCCUGUUUCUUUACUACAAAAAAAUAUUAAUUCUCAUUCAGUUCUAAGCUCGCCAAGUUAUAAUUGUUUCUUUUCAGGGUGACCCUGACAUUCCUUCAGUUUUCAACAUUGCAUACUCUUUAAGAUGCUUACCAGAAGAGAUGAGUUCAUCAAUUAAGUCAACAUCUUCUGCAAGAAAGCACAUAUUGUAUCC